GGUGCCGGUGGCGUACGCGCGCGUGAAGUUCCAGGCCUCGCGGGCCAGCGCGUCCAGUUCCGGCGUCAGGUCGGCGCCGCC
This 81-nucleotide transfer RNA is filed under the name compost metagenome. RNAcentral describes it as "tRNA-Trp". The record is from RNAcentral.